This 247-nucleotide long non-coding RNA is filed under the name Gossypium barbadense (sea-island cotton). RNAcentral's name for it is "long non-coding RNA (GBAR_LNC000043)". The record is from RNAcentral. Lineage: Eukaryota; Viridiplantae; Streptophyta; Magnoliopsida; Malvales; Malvaceae.
GAAAAAUAAUUAAAAAGAUAAAAAAUCACAAGUAAAAAUAAUUCCAAUAUAACGGCAAAAACGAAAAGUACAAAAUAUUUAUAUACUAAACCUUAAAACCCGAAAUAAGAACCGUCCUCCAUGAAAAUAAAAUUAUCUAGUAACUUAUAAAAACUAAUAACUAAAUGUAUAACUGGUUAUUUUUUCUAGAAUGGAAAACUAAAAAACAAUGUUUAAUAGCGAGAAAAAAAACUGAAAAAUACUAGGC